RNAcentral lists this ribosomal RNA (465 nucleotides) under uncultured bacterium. Its description in RNAcentral is "partial 16S ribosomal RNA". It matches the Rfam family "Bacterial small subunit ribosomal RNA", at positions 28 to 507 of the family's 1533-position model. The record is from RNAcentral.
GACGAACGCUGGCGGCGUGCUUAACACAUGCAAGUCGUACGGUAAGGCCCUUUCGGGGGUACACGAGUGGCGAACGGGUGAGUAACACGUGAGUAACCUGCCCACAACUUUGGGAUAACGCUAGGAAACUGGUGCUAAUACUGGAUAUGUGCUCCUGCUGCAUGGUGGGGGUUGGAAAGCUCCGGCGGUUGUGGAUGGACUCGCGGCCUAUCAGCUUGUUGGUGGGGUAGUGGCCUACCAAGGCGGCGACGGGUAGCCGGCCUGAGAGGGUGACCGGCCACAGUGGGGCUGAGAGACGGCCCAGACUCCGACGGGAGGCAGCAGUGGGGAAUAUUGCACAAUGGGCGCAAGCCUGAUGCAGCAACGCCGCGUGCGGGAUGACGGCCUUCGGGUUGUAAACCGCUUUCAGCAGGGACGAAGCUUUUUGUGACGGUACCUGCAGAAGAAGCACCGGCUAACUACGUG